GACGAACGCUUGCGGCGUGCCUAAGAAAUGCAAGUCGAGCGAGGUUUAGGCUUCGGCCGACGACCUAGCGGCGAACGGUCGCGUAACACGUAAGCAACCUGCCCUAAAGUUGGGGAUAGCCCGCCGAAAGGCGGAUUAAUACCGAAUGUGGAUAUGUAUUCGCAUGUAUAUAUAUCUGAAGCAGCGAUGCGCUUUAGGAUGGGCUUGCGGCCUAUCAGUUAGUUGGUGUGGGUAAACGGCCUACCAAGACGACGACGGGUAGCUGGUCUGAGAGGAUGGUCAGCCGGAUUGGGACUGAGACACGGCCCAGACUCCUACGGGGGCAGCAAUUAGGAAUCUUGCGCAAUGGGCGAAAGCCUGACGCAGCGACGCCGCGUGACUGAUGAAGUCUUUCGAGAUGUAAAGGUCUUUUGUUGGGGACGAAGGAAGUGACGGUACCCGACGAAUAAGCCCCGGCUAACUACGUG
This 467-nucleotide ribosomal RNA is filed under the name uncultured bacterium. RNAcentral's name for it is "bacterial SSU rRNA". It matches the Rfam family "Bacterial small subunit ribosomal RNA", at positions 28 to 507 of the family's 1533-position model. The record is from RNAcentral.